AGCGAGCAUAGAUGUGUAAGUUUUCGGAUGGAAGCAUGUAUGACUGAGCGGCGGACGGGUGAGUAACGCGUGGGUAACCUGCCUCAUACAGGGGGAUAACAGUUAGAAAUGACUGCUAAUACCGCAUAAGCGCACAGGACCGCAUGGUCCGGUGUGAAAAACUCCGGUGGUAUGAGAUGGACCCGCGUCUGAUUAGCUGGUUGGUGAGGUAACGGCCCACCAAGGCGACGAUCAGUAGCCGACCUGAGAGGGUGGCCGGCCACAUUGGGACUGAGACACGGCCCAAACUCCUACGGGAGGCAGCAGUGGGGAAUAUUGCACAAUGGGGGAAACCCUGAUGCAGCAACGCCGCGUGAGUGAAGAAGUAUUUCGGUAUGUAAAGCUCUAUCAGCAGGGAAGAGAAUGACGGUACCUGACUAAGAAGCCCCGGCUAACUACGUGCCAGCAGCCGCGGUAAUACGUAGGGGGCAAGCGUUAUCCGGAUUUACUGGGUGUAAAGGGAGCGUAGACGGCUGUACAAGUCUGAAGUGAAAGCCCGUGGCUCAACCGCGGAACUGCUUUGGAAACUGUAAAGCUGGAGUACUGGAGAGGCAGGCGGAAUUCCUAGUGUAGCGGUGAAAUGCGUAGAUAUUAGGAGGAACACCAGUGGCGAAGGCGGCCUGCUGGACAGAAACUGACGUUGAGGCUCGAAAGCGUGGGGAGCAAACAGGAUUAGAUACCCUGGUAGUCCACGCGGUAAACGAUGAAUGCUAGGUGUUGGUGGGCAAAAGCCCAUCGGUGCC
RNAcentral lists this ribosomal RNA (782 nucleotides) under uncultured bacterium. RNAcentral's name for it is "bacterial SSU rRNA". It matches the Rfam family "Bacterial small subunit ribosomal RNA", at positions 41 to 847 of the family's 1533-position model. The record is from RNAcentral.